Pyrgilauda ruficollis (rufous-necked snowfinch) is the source of this 3156-nucleotide long non-coding RNA. RefSeq lists it as uncharacterized. The transcript is spliced from 4 exons. NCBI's taxonomy places the organism in Eukaryota, Metazoa, Chordata, Aves, Passeriformes, Passeridae. The record is from RefSeq and is a predicted model, not a curated record.
AGCUCUAAGUUCAGCAGUAAGAUACAGUAUGUCAACACGUUGGCAGAGCUUCGUGAGAUGAUUCCAAUGGAAUAUGUGCAUAUACCAGACAGUAUUGUCAAGUAUGAUGAAGAUAAGUGUAUUAAGAGAAGACUGAGAACUAGCUGCCUCUCAAAUGAUCCAGAAAUGGCUUCAGUGGAGCAGGACAUCGACAUGACCCUGAAGUAAGAAGCAUCAUUGCCAGGCAUUUGAAGAAGAGGGUUCACAUGGAUUUUCAUCACCCGGACAAUCACAACCACGCCGUACAAUAAGUGAUCUGGUCAAUUGUAUUUGAUUUAUAGGUUUCCCCUGUCAUUCCGCAGUCCAGGAAGACGAAAACGGCCAGUCCUAUGGCCAUGGAAACAGCAGAAUUUUGGGUCCUGGUUAUUUUUGUUGUUUUCAGAAACAGUUUUCAUUAGGAAAGCCAUAUCAUCUAGCACUGGUUUCUCUGUGUGUGCCAUUUCUGUUUGAAAGGAUACCAUUUUACCAACAGUGUGCCUCAUAAAUAGGUCAAUGAGGAUGGGGAUUUUUUAAUUUUUGUCUUCAGCAUAUUAAUGUUUAUGCAUAGCUGAACACGGUAGUUAUUGUUACAAUAAGUGUUAGUUUGCUUGUGUCACAGAGCAGCAGCAACUUUACUGUUUAAAAAUAGCUUCAGAAAUUAUGCAGGACUUUCUUGAAUUUGACACACCGUGUUAGAUCAGGCUUUGGGCAGCCUGUCAUAGUGAAGGGUGUCCCUGCUCAAGGUAAACAGGCUGGAACUAGAUGAUUCUUAAGGGCCCUUCUGACUCAAAGUAUUCAUACUUUUAUGAAUUUGUUUUUCUUGAGGUCUGAAAAGUCUUUCCAUCUUCAUUAAAUGACUUUUUGUUUGAUCAGAGAAAAGUGUGAUAUACAAAAAAUAAUAAUUAGUCUCGUUAGACUUCCCAGGGGAUGAAUGAGUAACUGAAAUUAAUUUUAAUUUAAUAAUUCAGUUUAGUAUAUUUAUUUUAGGCAUAAUUUCCUAGAAGCAGCUAAUCCUGUAAAUUACUUUCAUAAAAUCCUUGGAGCAUUAAUUUAUUGCUGCUUUCUAAGUCUAUUUCUUCCAGAACAUUUUUUUAAAGUUAUGAAUCUUCAAGUGACAUCCUGUCUCCAGUUGUAAAGGCUGUUAAUUCUCUGAAUAUGAAUCAAAUAUUAUUUCCUACUGGGAGCUGAAAGCUGGGAGUCAUACUCAUUUGUUAGGAGUAUUUGUUAAAAUCUUGCUCCAAGAGUUUCUAUUAGACAAAAAAAUAAAUCUUAUACUGGUAUUUAUUGUCUGUGUCACAGAACACACCAGUAAAAACAUAAAAGGGAAAAACUCUAAGCAUCUUUUGUUUGCUGGGGUCCUAUUUAUUUGCACAAAAGAUACUACAGCAAGUCCUACUCCUUACUGGGAAAUAGCUUCAGUUUCUCAGAUCAUGCUUUUACAGAAGUGUGCAAAUAAAUUACCUAGUGAUUUCUGUUUGACUACUUUAAAAAGAUGAGAGUCAAGAAAAUGAUAAAUGUUUUCUCUUACCCUAAUGAAUACACAUAGGCACUUUCCAAACCUGCUGACUCACCUGCCUUUUGGGAAGUCCUAAUGGAAGUCUUAUUAUUACAUAAUCUCUGAAAUAUUAUUCUUUUUUCACAAGUUUUUUCUAUGCUUUAGUGUAGUGUCCGUGGAUUUUUUACUUUGUAAAGAAAUUCUUAGACAUAACAAUUCAUGGUAAGUUGCACCUUAUUAGUAUGGUCUAAUUCUAGUCCUGCUUUCAGUUCAGAACUAGUGAUAAAAGAGAAAACAAGCAAAGUAUUUCUUGGGACAUAAAGUUUAAGCAGAAGCAAUAGAGCAUGAGCCUUCAUGUUUUCAGCAGGAUCUAAACUGCAAGUUCUAUUCAGUCCUUCAUUUAAAAGUUUGAUGGGGUUUUUUGUGGUUUGCACAUUUCCAACUCUGUCCAUUUCUGUUUCUUGUAUUUGCAAGGGAGUCUGCAAGCAGUGAAGCAAGUGUCAUUGUGUGCAUAGUUGUUCAGCUACUGCAAUGAAGACUGACAAAGUUGUCAGAAAGGCAGAAGAGUGCUUUCUUAUUGGCCAACAAAAAACCAAAAUAUGUGUCCUCUGCUCUGUGCUGGUAUCUGUCUGACUUGCUAGUCUGCUGUAUCACAUCUGUCAGUUCCUGUAAAUUUUCACAAAGGAAGGGCCUGAUCCUGCUGACCAUUGUUGCUGCUCUGUAACCUUGUCCUAAACUAGGGUCUGGUAGUCUCCACCUUUUCUCAAAUAUUUGAAUCCUGGCUUGUGUCUUGCCUUAUAAAAGUGCUGUCACUUAGUAUAUUGGGGAUAAUGUUUUAUGUACAGAUUAAUAUUUGUAUUGACUUCCAGAUGCUAAUUAAGCUUCAUUAAGAUCUAAACUAUUAAAAGCAUUUAGGAGCAUGAAGUUGCAUCUUUUGUAGACCUGUAGUUGAAGCUUCUUAGGACAAGCCACAUGACCUGUGUUAUACAAUAGAUGAGAAAAGUUUCCACCAGAAGAGAAGUUCACCACAAAGCAGAGUUCAGCACAAAUCUUCAUUCACUCUUUGAGACCCUAUAUGGGGUAUGAGAGGUUUGUGAUUUUAAUGGUGGACAUCAGCUCAGAGUUGAAUUUAAUUCUACUUGCUUUGUGUGAAAUUACUAAGCAGCAAAGUUACAGAUUAAUAUUAUUAUUAUGGGCAGAAUAAUGGUGGCAGCCUGAGAUUAAAUGAAUGUGUUUAAGCCAAAUGGCAUGUUAACACAAAAUGGGGCAUUGAUGAGAUAAUUAAAAAAUGAUUGCAGGAUCAAAGUGUGGUUAUCUUUGCUUAUUAAUAUAUUUUGAAAAGUUUUUUAAUGUUAUGAUAAGGCAAUUCUAUGUUAUACUAACAAUAACAUAUCAAUAUUAAUAAAUCAGUAGUUUGUUGAAAGAGAAAUAUAGUACGUAUAAUUACACAGAUACAAGCUUUUAUAUAUGGAUUUUUUCUACUGUGUAUCAGAGUGCUCAGAUGAAAUAUAAAUUAGUAGUUGCAAAUUUUUUUGUUAAAAUACCUAUGCUGACUUAAAUUAUAGAUUAAGCAAUACAAGAAUAUCUAAUAGCAUUGUAUGGAUAUAUAUACCUAUGAAUCAGAAAUAAAGAAUUGCAACCCA